GCGAAAGAGUCCUUCGGGACUUUAUUAGAGCGGCGAAAGGGUGAGUAACGUAUAGGCAACGUACCCUCGGGACUGGGAUAACUGCUGGAAACGGCAGGUAAUACCGGAUGGUCAGGCCGGAAGGCAUCUUCUGGCUUGUAAAUGGAUUCUGCCCGGGGAGCGGCCUAUGCCCUAUUAGCUUGUUGGCGGGGUAAUGGCCCACCAAGGCAACGAUGGGUAGCCGGACUGAGAGGUUGGCCGGUCACACUGGGACUGAGACACUGCCCAGACUCCUACGGGAGGCUGCAGUCGAGAAUCUUCCGCAAUGGACGAAAGUCUGACGGGGCGACGCCGCGUGUGGGAUGAAGGCCUUCGGGUUGUAAACCACUGUUGCGAGCUAGGAAGGCUGCGUAAGCAGAUUGACCAGCUCGUUAGAAAGCACAGGCUAACUCCGUGCCAGCAGCCGCGGUAAUACGGAGUGUGCAAGCGUUACUCGGAAUCACUGGGCAUAAAGCGCACGUAGGCGGGUUGCAUAGUCGGCCGUGAAAGCCCCCGGCCCAACCGGGGAACUGCGACCGAAACUGGCAGUCUUGAGGACGAGAGGGGAGAGCGGAACUUCUGGUGGAGCGGUGAAAUGCGUAGAUAUCAGAAGGAACAUCGGUGGUGAAAACGGCUCUCUGGCUCGUUUCUGACGCUGAGGUGCGAAAGCUAGGGUAGCGAACGGGAUUAGAUACCCCGGUAGUCCUAGCCCUAAACGAUGUGCACU
Molecule: ribosomal RNA, 745 nt
Filed under: uncultured bacterium
Lineage: Bacteria
Description: bacterial SSU rRNA
Rfam family: Bacterial small subunit ribosomal RNA
Source: RNAcentral